UAUUUUCAAAUUGUCCUUCAUAGUAGCCAAAAUGAAUUUUGCUUUCCAAUCAGGGUCUGCCUUCAAUUGUUCAAGGUACCUAUUUGUCAAGAAAAUAUAGUUGCAAUGUCUAUUAUUUUGGCUACGUGUGCAUGUAUGCUCUGGCAUGUAAGACUUCACCUGCACUGUCUCAUUCGAAUUGAGCUUUGAGGCCCAAAUCUUCCAAUUACAUCCCACUUUGCAAACUCCUUGAGCUCGUUUUCUAUCGUUACACUUGAACUUCACAUUGUAACCAUUGAGAGCACCAUACGUUCUCACGGCAAUCCGAAACUCUUCCAUUGACCGAAAUUGUAGUCCAACCUCAAACUGCGGAUUCGUCAUAUCUAUCUCAGCCAUAAAUUCUGGGAAUCGAUUACCAACCUCUUUGUUGGAUGAACAAGCCAAUAAUAUCUCCUCGCUCGAUGGAUACUCCAAUUCAUCAUCUUCCACCUCCCCUACACUGAUCAAUACUCCUUCAUUUCAUCCUUCAUUCAAGUCAGAUCCAAUUUCGAUGCCAUCUGUCACAUUACGAUCAUACAAGAAAUCGUCUUCCUCUGAAGCUAUGUCAACCUCGGAAUGGACGAAAUCAGG
RNAcentral lists this long non-coding RNA (609 nucleotides) under Olea europaea subsp. europaea. The record is from RNAcentral. Lineage: Eukaryota; Viridiplantae; Streptophyta; Magnoliopsida; Lamiales; Oleaceae.